This 1005-nucleotide unclassified non-coding RNA is filed under the name Hevea brasiliensis (rubber tree). The record is from RNAcentral. Lineage: Eukaryota; Viridiplantae; Streptophyta; Magnoliopsida; Malpighiales; Euphorbiaceae.
GAGUUCAAUUGUACAACACACACUCUGAUAGUCUUUAGGGAGUGGAAAAGAAAACGUAACAGCAGCAGUUCUGCAAUCAGCUUAUGAGAUGGAAUAUGACGCUGAAAUACCAGAGAUCAAAAGUAUAAAGGAAGAGAAUUUGCUAGGGGAAGUGUACACAAUAUCAGACAAACUGAAGAUGGAGAAAGACAAAAGGGACCGAUCACUAUCUGAGUUUGAAGGAACUUCAGACGUUGAAAAUGUUAAGGAUCUUAUUAAAGGUAGUUAUGGAACCACUGAGGGUGAAAAUUUUUAUGCAUCACCCUUAGUUUCCAAGGCUGUUGAAGAAAAUGGUAGUUCAGUGGAAGCCCCUGUAUCAGUCAAUACACCAAACAAAUCAGAUGAACAGAUGUCCGGGAGUUCAUUCCAUCAGGAGGAAAAAGCAGAAGAGAAAAGAGUAGAAAUCGUUUCUGCGGGAAUACAGAAUCCAAGUGAAGAGAGUGAAACAUCUUGUGAAAUGAACAAUGUUGAGAAGAACACAUCUAUCCCCUUGACCGUCCGAGGAGAUGUUAGCUCUGAAAAAUAUAAAACGGAGGGGGCAGACGCUGAAGCAAUCAAAUCACCUGGUGACGCUAACGAUGAGAAAGUAGUCAAAGAUGAGAAUGACUACAAUGGCGAUAGAAAUAUUUUCAUAUCCCCCAAUUCAGAGUGCCAAAGAGGAGAGGACGAGAAAAAAGAGACAGGAGAUGGAGAGGGUGCUAGGAAUGUGCUUUUUAACUCAUUUGUUGAUGUUGUAGAAGAAACCAGGUCAGAUUAUGCUGAAUCAGAUACGAGUGGGAAACAUGGGGACAACUCAAUCGAGAAGGUAAACCAAGAUGUUGCUGACCAUCCAGAAGUAGAGCAAAAAACUGAAGAACUAGAAAUUGAAGAAAAACCAAUUAUUGAAGAGAAAACUAAAGAACCAAUAGUUAUGGAGAAACAUGCAGGAUCAGCGGUUGAAGAAAAACCUGAAGAACCAGCAGUUGA